RNAcentral lists this transfer RNA (93 nucleotides) under Desulfurobacteriaceae bacterium. Its description in RNAcentral is "tRNA-Ser". It matches the Rfam family "tRNA". Rfam says of the family: Transfer RNA (tRNA) molecules are approximately 80 nucleotides in length. The record is from RNAcentral. Lineage: Bacteria; Pseudomonadati; Aquificota; Aquificia; Desulfurobacteriales; Desulfurobacteriaceae.
GGAGGGAUGGCCGAGCGGUCGAAGGCGGGUGAUUUGAAAUCACCUGGCGGGUUAGUCGCCCGCCCCUGGGUUCGAAUCCCAGUCCCUCCGCCA